GCCUGGAUGGCUCAGUCAGUUGAGCGUCUGACUUCAGAUCAGGUCAUGAUCUCGUGGUCUGUGGGUUCAAGCCCCACAUUGGGCU
Molecule: transfer RNA, 85 nt
Filed under: Felis catus (domestic cat)
Lineage: Eukaryota; Metazoa; Chordata; Mammalia; Carnivora; Felidae
Rfam family: tRNA
About the family: Transfer RNA (tRNA) molecules are approximately 80 nucleotides in length. Their secondary structure includes four short double-helical elements and three loops (D, anti-codon, and T loops).
Source: Rfam by way of RNAcentral